CCUACGGGAGGCAGCAGUGAGGAAUAUUGGUCAAUGGACGAGAGUCUGAACCAGCCAAGUAGCGUGAAGGAUGACUGCCCUAUGGGUUGUAAACUUCUUUUAUAUGGGAAUAAAGCGAUCCACGUGUGGCUUUUUGUAUGUACUAUAUGAAUAAGGAUCGGCUAACUCCGUGCCAGCAGCCGCGGUAAUACGGAGGAUGCGAGCGUUAUCCGGAUUUAUUGGGGUUAAAGGGUGCGUAGAGGGGUUGUUAAGUCAGGGGUGAAAGUUUGCGGCUCAACCCCGGGAUGGCGAUUGAAACUGGCGAUCUUGAGUGGGGGUGAGGUAUGCGGAAUGCGUGGUGUAGCGGUGAAAUGCAUAGAUAUCACGAAGAACUCCGAUUGCGAAGGCAGCAUAC
Molecule: ribosomal RNA, 394 nt
Filed under: uncultured bacterium
Lineage: Bacteria
Description: partial 16S ribosomal RNA
Rfam family: Bacterial small subunit ribosomal RNA
Source: RNAcentral